GAUGAACGCUAGCUACAGGCUUAACACAUGCAAGUCGAGGGGCAGCAUGGUCUUAGCUUGCUAAGGCCGAUGGCGACCGGCGCACGGGUGAGUAACACGUAUCCAACCUGCCGUCUACUCUUGGACAGCCUUCUGAAAGGAAGAUUAAUACAAGAUGGCAUCAUGAGUCCGCAUGUUCACAUGAUUAAAGGUAUUCCGGUAGACGAUGGGGAUGCGUUCCAUUAGAUAGUAGGCGGGGUAACGGCCCACCUAGUCUUCGAUGGAUAGGGGUUCUGAGAGGAAGGUCCCCCACAUUGGAACUGAGACACGGUCCAAACUCCUACGGGAGGCAGCAGUGAGGAAUAUUGGUCAAUGGGCGAGAGCCUGAACCAGCCAAGUAGCGUGAAGGAUGACUGCCCUAUGGGUUGUAAACUUCUUUUAUAAAGGAAUAAAGUCGGGUAUGGAUACCCGUUUGCAUGUACUUUAUGAAUAAGGAUCGGCUAACUCCGUGCCAGCAGCCGCGGUAAUACGGAGGAUCCGAGCGUUAUCCGGAUUUAUUGGGUUUAAAGGGAGUGUAGAUGGAUAUUUAAGUCAGUUGUGAAUGUUUGCGGCUCAACCGUAAAAUUGCAGUUGAUACUGGAUAUCUUGAGUGCAGUUGAGGCAGGCGGAAUUCGUGGUGUAGCGGUGAAAUGCUUAGAUAUCACGAAGAACUCCGAUUGCGAAGGCAGCCUGCUAAGCUGCAACUGACAUUGAGGCUCGA
This 739-nucleotide ribosomal RNA is filed under the name uncultured Bacteroidales bacterium. Its description in RNAcentral is "bacterial SSU rRNA". It matches the Rfam family "Bacterial small subunit ribosomal RNA", at positions 28 to 756 of the family's 1533-position model. Lineage: Bacteria; Pseudomonadati; Bacteroidota; Bacteroidia; Bacteroidales. The record is from RNAcentral.